Molecule: long non-coding RNA, 4919 nt
Organism: Nicotiana tabacum (common tobacco)
Lineage: Eukaryota; Viridiplantae; Streptophyta; Magnoliopsida; Solanales; Solanaceae
Source: RefSeq, a predicted model, not a curated record
AGUCGAAAAGCACACGCAUAAAUUACUCUUGCGGAGUUCCAAGAACUCUUUCUUCCUCCUUGGUCAGCUACCAGUAGUUAGAACUCGCUUUCAAUAGUUUCAAUAAUGCUAGCUGCGAAAGAGUCCUUUUCUCUGUUUGGUGCCUUUGUUCAAAGAUCAUCUUGUAGAUUCAGAUAUUCAUUUUGAGAUUUUCUUGUUCUCAAGGCCGGCUUUGAUUCAUUUUGCUUUAGAAAACGAAUCUGUUGGCAAAUAAGGUAAAAUCACAGACUCUCUUGUGUUUUUCGUAUUCUUUACAUUUUUUCUGAUUUUAGAACAUGAGCCAGGGAGAUGAUGGAGAUUCUGUGAAGUAAAAUUAUAGCAGUACCGAAGAUCAAAAUAGUAGUGGUGGUAUUUUUUUCUUAUCUAUAUAAACGUGUGCUUAACAUGCAUAUUUCAAUAAUGCUAGCUGAGAAAGAGUCUUUUUUCUGUUUGGUGCCUUUGUUCAAAGAUCAUCUUAUAGAUUCAGAUAUCAAUUUUGGGAUCUCCUUGUUCCUAAGGCUUUGAUUCAUAUUGCUUCAGAGAACGAAUCUGUUGGCAAAUAAGGUAAAAUCACGAAUUCCCUUGUGUUUUUCGUAUUCUUUAUAUUUUUUCUAGUUUUAGAACAUGAGACAGAGAGAUGAUGUGGAUUAUGUGAAAUGAAAUCAUAGCAGUACCGAAAACCAAAAUAGUAGUGGUGGUGUUUUUUUUUCUUAUCAAAAUAAACGUGUGCUUACCACGUCUAUUUCAAUCAUGCUAGCUGAGAAAGAGUCUUUUUCUCUGUUUGGUGCCUUUGUUCAAAGAUCAUCUUGUAGAUUCAGAUAUCCAUUUUGGGAUAUCCUUGUUCCCAAGGCUUUGAUUCAUUUUGCUUCAGAGAACGAAUCUGUUGGCAAAUAAGGUAAAAUCACGGAUUUCCUUGUGUUUUUCGUAUUCUUUACAUUUUUUCUGGUUUUAAAACUUGACACAGAGAUGAUGGGGAUUCUAUGAAAUGAAAUCAUAGAAGUACCAAAGAUCAAAAUAGCAGUGGCAGUUUUUUUUCUUAUCUUUAUAAACGUGUGCUUACCAUACAUAUUUCAAUAAUGCUAGCUGAGAGAGAGUCUUUUUCUCUGUUUGGUGCUUUUGUUCAAAGAUCAUCUUGUAGAUUCUGAUAUCAAUUUUGGGAUCUCAUUGCUCCCAAGGCCUGUUUGAUUCAUUUUGCUUCAGAGAACGAAUCUGUUGGCAAAUAAGAUAAAAUCACGGAUUCCCUUGGUCUUUUCGUAUUCUUUAUAUUUUAACUGGUUUUAGAACAUGAGACAGAGAGAUGAUGGGGAUUCUGUGAAAUGAAAUCAUAGCAGUACCGAAUAUCAAAAUAGUAGUGGUGAUAUUUUUUUAUUAUCUAUAUAAAUGUAUGCUUACCAUGCAUAUUUCAAUAAUGCUAGCUGAGAAAGAGUCUUUUUUCUGUUUGGUGCUUUUGUUCAAAGAUUAUCUUGUAGAUUCAGAUAUCCAUUUUGGGAUCUCCUUGUUUCCAAGGCUUUGAUUCAAUUUGCUUCAGAGAACGAAUCUAUUGGCAAAUAAGGUAAAAUCACGGAUUCCCUUGUGUUUUUAGUAUUCUUUACAUUUUUUUUGGUUUUAGAACUUGAGACAAAGAGAUGAUGUGGAUUCUGUGAAAUAAAAUCAUAGCAGUACCAAAGAUCAAAAUAGUAGUGGUGGUAUUUUUUUCUUUUCUAUAUAAACGUGUGCUUACCACGCAUAUUUCAAUAAUGCUAGUUGAGAAAGAGUCUUUUUCUCUGUUUGGUGCAUUUGUUCAAAGAUCAUCUUAUAGAUUUAGAUAUCCAUUUUGGGAUCUCCUUAUUCCCAAGGCUUUGAUUCAUUUUACUUCAGAGAAUGAAUCUGUUGGCAAAUAAGGUAAAAUUAUGGAUUUCCUUGUAUUUUUCGUAUUCUUUACAUUUUUUCGGUAUUUAGAACUUGAGAUAGAGAGAUGAUGGGGAAUCUGUGAAAUAAAAUUAUAGCAGUACCGAAGAUCAAAAUAGUAGUGGUGGUUUUUUUCUUAUCUUUAUAAACGUGUGCUUACCAUGCAUAUUUCAAUAAUGCUAGUUGAGAAAGAGUCUUUUUCUCUAUUUGGUGCCUUUGUUCAAAGAUCAUCUUGUAGAUUCAGAUAUCCAUUUUGGGAUCUCCUUUUUCCUAAGGCUUUGAUUCACUUUGCUUGAGAGAACGAAUCUGUUGGCAAAUAAGGUAAAAUUACGGAUUCCCUUGUGUUUUUCGUAUUCUUUACAUUUUUCUGGUUUUAGAACUUGAGACAAAGAGAUGAUGUGGAUUCUGUGAAAUAAAAUCAUAGCAGUACCAAAGAUCAAAAUAGUAGUGGUGGUAUUUUUUUCUUAUCUAUAUAAAUGUGUGCUUACCAUGCAUAUUUCAAUAAUGCUAGCUGAGAAAGAAUCUUUUUUCUGUUUGGUGCUUUUGUUCAAAGAUCAUCUUAUAGAUUCAGAUAUCCAUUUUGGGAUCUCCUUGUUUUCAAGGCUUUGAUUCAUUUUGCUUCAGAGAACGAAUCUGUUGGCAAAUAAGGUAAAAUCACGGAUUCCCUUGUAUUUUUCGUAUUCUUUACAUUUUUUCUAGUUUUAGAACAUGAGACAGAGAGAUGAUAUGGAUUAUGUGAAAUGAAAUCAGAUCAGUACCGAAGAUCAAAAUAGUAGUGGUGGUAUUUUUUUUUCUUAUCAAAAUAUACGUGCGCUUACCACGCCUAUUUCAAUCAUGCUAGCUGAGAAAGAGUCUUUUUCUCUGUUUGGUACCUUUGUUCAAAGAUCAUCUUGUAGAUUCAGAUAUCCAUUUUGGGAUAUCCUUGUUCCUAAGGCUUUGAUUCAUUUUGCUUCAGAAAACGAAUCUGUUAGCAAAUAAGGUAAAAUCACGGAUUUCCUUGUGUUUUUCGUAUUCUUUAUAUUUUUCUGGUUUUAGAACUUGAGACACAGAGAUGAUGGGGAUUCUGUGAAAUGAAAUCAUAGAAGUACCAAAGAUCAAAAUAGCAGUGGUGGUUUUUUUUCUUAUCUUUAUAAACGUGUGCUUACCAUACAUAUUUUAAUAAUGCUAGCUGAGAGAGAGUCUUUUUCUCUGUUUGGUGCUUUUGUUCAAAGAUCAUCUUGUAGAUUCAGAUAUCUAUUUUGAGAUCUCAUAUCUCCCAAGGCCGGUUUGAUUCAUUUUGCUUCAGAGAACGAAUCUAUUGGCAAAUAAGAUAUCCAUUUUGGGAUCUCCUUGUUUCCAAGGCUUUGAUUCAAUUUACUUCAGAGAACGAAUCUAUUGGCAAAUAAGGUAAAAUCACGGAUUCCCUUGUGUUUUUAAUAUUCUUUACAUUUUUUUUUGGUUUUAGAACUUGAGACAAAGAGAUGAUGUGGAUUCUGUGAAAUAAAAUCAUAGCAGUACCAAAGAUCAAAAUAGUAGUGGUGGUAUUUUUUUCUUAUCUAUAUAAAUGUGUGCUUACCAUGCAUAUUUCAAUAAUGCUAGCUGAGAAAGAGUCUUUUUUCUGUUUGGUGCUUUUGUUCAAAGAUCAUCUUAUAGAUUCAGAUAUCCAUUUUGGGAUCUCCUUGUUUUCAAGGCUUUGAUUCAAUUUGCUUCAGAGAACGAAUCUAUUGGCAAAUAAGGUAAAAUCAUGGAUUCCCUUGUGUUUUUAGUAUUCUUUACAUUUUUUCUAGUUUAAAAUCAUGGAUUCCCUUGUGUUUUUAGUAUUCUUUACAUUUUUUCUAGUUUAAAAUCAUGGAUUCCCUUGUGUUUUUAGUAUUCUUUACAUUUUUUCUAGUUUUAGAACUUGAGACAAAGAGACGAUGUGGAUUCUGUGAAAUAAAAUCGUAGCAGUACCAAAGAUCAAAAUAGUAGUGGUGGUAUUUUUUCUUUUCUAUAUAAACGUGUGCUUACCACGCAUAUUUCAAUAAUGCUAGUUGAGAAAGAGUCUUUUUUUCUGUUUGGUGCAUUUGUUCAAAGAUCAUCUUAUAGAUUUAGAUAUCCAUUUUGGGAUCUCCUUGUUCCCAAGGCUUUGAUUCAUUUUACUUCAGAGAACGAAUAUGUUGGCAAAUAAGGUAAAAUCACGAAUUUUCUUGUAUUUUUCGUAUUCUUUACAUUUUUUCGGUAUUUAGAACUUGAGAUAGAGAGAUGAUGGGGAAUCUGUGAAAUAAAAUUAUAGCAGUACCGAAGAUCAAAAUAGUAGUGGUGGUUUUUUUCUUAUCUUUAUAAACGUGUGCUUACCAUGCAUAUUUCAAUAAUGCUAGUUGAGAAAGAGUCUUUUUCUCUAUUUGGUGCCUUUGUUCAAAGAUCAUCUUGUAGAUUCAGAUAUCUAUUUUGGGAUCUCCUUGUUCGUAAGGCUUUGAUUCAUUUUGCAUGAGAGAACGAAUCUAUUGGCAAAUAAGGUAAAAUCACGGAUUCCCUUGUAUUUUUUGUAUUCUUUACAUUUUUCUGGUUUUAGAACUUAAGAUAGAGAGAUAAUGUGGAUUUUGUCAAAUAAAAUCAUAGCAGUACCGAAGAUCAAAAUAAUAGUGGUGGUGUUUUUUUCUUUUCUAUAUAAACGUGUGCUUACCACGCAUAUUUCAAUUAUGCUAGUUGAGAAAGAGUCUUUUUCUCUGUUUGGUGCCUUUGUUCAAAGAUUAUCUUGUAGAUUCAGAUAUCCAUUUUGGGAUCUCAUUAUUCCCAAGGCUUUGAUUCAUUUUACUUCAGAGAACGAAUCUGUUGGCAAAUAAGGUAAAAUCACGGAUUUCCUUCUAUUUUUUCUAUUCUUUACAUUUUUUCUGGUUUUAGAACUUGAGAGAGAGAGAUGAUGGGAAAUUUGUAAAAUGAAAUCAUAGCAGUACCGAUGAUCAAAAUAGUAGUGGUAGUUUUUUUUUCUUAUCUUUAUAAACGUGUCCUUACCAUGCAUAUUUCUAUAAUGCUAGCUGAGAAAGAGUCUUUUUCUC